UACGGAGGGGGCUAGCGUUGUUCGGAAUUACUGGGCGUAAAGCGCGCGUAGGCGGAUCGUUAAGUCGGGGGUGAAAUCCUGGAGCUCAACUCCAGAACUGCCUUUGAUACUGGCGAUCUUGAGUCCGGGAGAGGUGAGUGGAACUCCGAGUGUAGAGGUGAAAUUCGUAGAUAUUGGGUGGAACACCGGUGGCGAAAGCGGCUCACUGGCCCGGUUCUGACGCUGAGGCGCGAAAGCGUGGGGAGCAAACAGG
RNAcentral lists this ribosomal RNA (253 nucleotides) under uncultured bacterium. RNAcentral describes it as "partial 16S ribosomal RNA". It matches the Rfam family "Bacterial small subunit ribosomal RNA", at positions 524 to 776 of the family's 1533-position model. The record is from RNAcentral.